RNAcentral lists this small nucleolar RNA (138 nucleotides) under Ornithorhynchus anatinus (platypus). Lineage: Eukaryota; Metazoa; Chordata; Mammalia; Monotremata; Ornithorhynchidae. The record is from RNAcentral.
CCCCUCUCAGGGUCGCACCUGCAGAGUUUCCAGUACUCCACCAGUCUCGACUACAGGAGGGAGAGUCAAACAGAGGCCUCCCCAUUCCAUUCCUAGCUUGGGCAGUGGCUAGCAAGUGGAAAGCAAUCUAUUACAAGU